RNAcentral lists this ribosomal RNA (253 nucleotides) under uncultured bacterium. RNAcentral's name for it is "partial 16S ribosomal RNA". It matches the Rfam family "Bacterial small subunit ribosomal RNA", at positions 524 to 776 of the family's 1533-position model. The record is from RNAcentral.
UACGUAGGGUGCGAGCGUUAAUGGGAAUUACUGGGCGUAAAGCGUGCGCAGGCGGUUUUGUAAGCCAGAUGUGAAAUCCCCGGGCUCAACCUGGGAAUGGCAUUUGGGACUGCAAGGCUGGAGUGUGGCAGAGGAGACUGGAAUUCCUGGUGUAGCAGUGAAAUGCGUAGAUAUCAGGAGGAAUACCGAUGGCGAAGGCAGGUCUCUGGGCUGACACUGACGCUCAUGCACGAAAGCGUGGGGAGCAAACAGG